Molecule: ribosomal RNA, 253 nt
Filed under: uncultured bacterium
Lineage: Bacteria
Description: partial 16S ribosomal RNA
Rfam family: Bacterial small subunit ribosomal RNA
Source: RNAcentral
UACGAAGGGGGCUAGCGUUGCUCGGAAUCACUGGGCGUAAAGGGUGCGUAGGCGGGCCUUUAAGUCAGGGGGGAAAUCCUGGAGCUCAACUCCAGAACUGCCUUUGAUACUGAGGAUCUUGAGUUCGGGAGAGGUGAGUGGAACUGCGAGUGUAGAGGUGAAAUUCGUAGAUAUUCGCAAGAACACCAGUGGCGAAGGCGGCUCACUGGCCCGAUACUGACGCUGAGGCACGAAAGCGUGGGGAGCAAACAGG